This is a long non-coding RNA of Stomoxys calcitrans (stable fly), 428 nucleotides long. RefSeq lists it as uncharacterized. Lineage: Eukaryota; Metazoa; Arthropoda; Insecta; Diptera; Muscidae. The transcript has 4 exons. The record is from RefSeq and is a predicted model, not a curated record.
GCGAGCCAACGAUAAUUGGUGUCCACUUCUUUCUUAUUUGUCAACUUUUUGUUACUGAAGAGUACAGAGUCUUUUGGCUCAAUGGGUACGUAAAUAAGCAGAUUUGUCGAUUUUUGAGUGAAGAUCAGCAAGAAGGAUUGCAAGAGCUACCAAGCUAUCCAGAAAAAGUAACAGUUUGGUGCGGUUUAUGGGCUGGUGGCAUCAUUGUACCGUACUUCUUCAAAGAUGUUGCGAAUCGUAACGUAACUGUUUAUGAAAUUCAAAAUGGAAGAACUAUUUAUUUGGGCACUAUACGGGAGCUUCAACAAAAAGUGCGACUUUAAUUACAGUUUUGUUUAUGAAAUGUACGAGAAGAAUUUGGUUCUCUGUAUUUUGAAAAUACUACAAAAUCCAGGUCCUCGGCGGUUCUAUCUUACCCAAAAUUAGUU